RNAcentral lists this transfer RNA (79 nucleotides) under compost metagenome. RNAcentral describes it as "tRNA-Leu". The record is from RNAcentral.
CCGCCUUUGCCGAAGGGCCGAAGGUUGGCGUCGUCGUCAAGAUCGGCGGUAUUCCGUGGUUCAACGCCAUGGAGGCCGG